RNAcentral lists this ribosomal RNA (351 nucleotides) under Triticum aestivum (bread wheat). Its description in RNAcentral is "partial small subunit ribosomal RNA". The record is from RNAcentral. Lineage: Eukaryota; Viridiplantae; Streptophyta; Magnoliopsida; Poales; Poaceae.
AUGCCCUGUCCUACCAGAAACGGACGCACGAACGAGGCAAGGCUACCCCACGAUCUACUCGCACGCACGAGGCAGAGGAACGUUUUUCUAAAAAAUGAGGGAGAGGAAUGCAGUGCUGUUGCUGAAAAAAAGGAGACGCAGCGCUCGUGCGGCCGCCGCCGAGUCGCACACACACAGGAUCAAAUCUCCAGACUCCAGCACUCGCGCCGCCGGCGAUGCCUCCGCCCCCCAACCCCCUCCCCACUUUCCCCCUGCUCUCUGGCUCCCGGCCGCCGCCCUUCUGUCCUGUGCGUCGUUCGCCCGGGCGCGCCAUCCCUGCUGGUUGCUUCACUGCCAGCUGCAACACCUUAA